UGGGAGGCGGGAAUCGCCCUUCGGGGUCUCUCGUUCGACAAUGAAAGACCACUCCCAUCAUUGUUUCUUUACUUAUUCAGUGAAGCGGGAACUGUCAAUUAUUUUCCAUGUUGACAUUAAGCACACGUUAGUGCGUUGGUCUCACCCCGUGUGUGGCUGGCGUGCCGGCGUCUUGGUCGCAACUGUCUGGCCAGGGCUAGUGGUAUGUGUGUUUUGCCCUCUACUGCCUGUAGGCUGUUGCCGCAAGGUGGCAGUCCAUGGCUGGUAGACGGUGGGCGCGUGUGCCCGGUCUUGGUGCUAUCAGGCAGGUUUGGCGACGUGCGACCCGAUCUGAAGACAGUGUCAGGCGGGGAGUUUGACUGGGGCGGUACAUCUGUCAAAUCGUAACGCAGGUGUCCCAAGGUGAGCUCAGCCAGGACAGAAACCUGGCGUAGAGUAAAAGGGCAAAAGCUUACUAAACAAUGAUGGGAGGCGGGAAUCGCCCUUCGGGGUCUCUCGUUCGACAAUGAAAGACCACUCC
This 520-nucleotide ribosomal RNA is filed under the name Pseudomonas syringae pv. actinidiae. RNAcentral's name for it is "partial 23S ribosomal RNA". It matches the Rfam family "Eukaryotic large subunit ribosomal RNA", at positions 2470 to 2746 of the family's 3401-position model. The record is from RNAcentral. Lineage: Bacteria; Pseudomonadati; Pseudomonadota; Gammaproteobacteria; Pseudomonadales; Pseudomonadaceae.